AACGAACGCUGGCGGCAUGCCUAACACAUGCAAGUCGAACGAGAACUUCGGGUCCAGUGGCGCACGGGUGCGUAACGCGUGGGAACCUGCCCUUAGGUUCGGCCUAACUCUCCGACAGGGGUGAUAAUACCGGAUAAUGUCUUCGGCCCAAAGAUUUAUCGCCCUUGGUUGGGCCAUAGUUGGAUUAGCUAGUUGUUAGGGUAAUAGCCUACUACGGCGACGAUCCAUAGCUGGUCUGAGAGGAUGAUCAGCGACACUGGGACUGAGACACGGCCCAGACUCCUACGGGAUGCAGCAGAGGGGAAUGUUGGACAAUGGGCGAAAGCCUGAUCCAGCAAUGCCGCGUGAGUGAUGAAGUCCUUAGGGUUGUAAAGCGCUUUUACCCGGGAUGAUAAUGACGGUACCGGGAGAAUAAGCUCCGGCUAACUCCGUG
RNAcentral lists this ribosomal RNA (433 nucleotides) under uncultured bacterium. Its description in RNAcentral is "partial 16S ribosomal RNA". It matches the Rfam family "Bacterial small subunit ribosomal RNA", at positions 29 to 507 of the family's 1533-position model. The record is from RNAcentral.